GGGUUGUGAGGUUAAGCGAAUAAGCGUACACGGUGGAUGCCUAGGCAAUCAGAGGCGAUGAAGGACGUGCUAAUCUGCGAAAAGCGUCGGUAAGGUGAUAUGAACCGUUAUACCCGACGAUAUCCGAAUGGGGAAACCCAGUAUCCAAUGGAUACUAUCAUUAACUGAAUCCAUAGGUUAAUGAGGCGAACCGGGAGAACUGAAACAUCUCAGUACCCCGAGGAAAAGAAAUCAACCGAGAUUCCCCUAGUAGCGGCGAGCGAACGGGGAGCAGCCCAGAGUCUUAAUCAAUAACAGUGUCAGGAGAACGGUCUGGAAAGUCCGGCAGUAAAGGGUGAUAGCCCCGUAUCUGAAGAUGCUGUUAUUGUGAACUCGACGAGUAGGGCGGGACACGUGUUAUCCUGUCUGAAUAUGGGGGGACCAUCCUCCAAGGCUAAAUACUCCUGAUUGACCGAUAGUGAACCAGUACCGUGAGGGAAAGGCGAAAAGAACCCCGGCGAGGGGAGUGAAAAAGAACCUGAAACCGUGUACGUACAAGCAGUAGGAGCCUCUUUAUGGGGUGACUGCGUACCUUUUGUAUAAUGGGUCAGCGACUUAUAUUCUGUAGCGAGGUUAACCGUAUAGGGGAGCCGUAGGGAAACCGAGUCUUAACUGGGCGAAUGAGUUGCAGGGUAUAGACCCGAAACCCGGUGAUCUAUCCAUGGGCAGGUUGAAGGUUGGGUAACACUAACUGGAGGACCGAACCGACUAAUGUUGAAAAAUUAGCGGAUGACUUGUGGAUGGGGGUGAAAGGCCAAUCAAACCGGGAGAUAGCUGGUUCUCCCCGAAAGCUAUUUAGGUAGCGCCUCGUGAACUCAUCUUCGGGGGUAGAGCACUGUUUCGACUAGGGGGUCAUCCCGACUUACCAACUCGAUGCAAACUGCGAAUACCGAAGAAUGUUAUCACGGGAGACACACGGCGGGUGCUAACGUCCAUCGUGAAGAGGGAAACAACCCAGACCGCCAGCUAAGGUCCCAAAGUCAUGGUUAAGUGGGAAACGAAGUGGGAAGGCUCAGACAGCCAGGAUGUUGGCUUAGAAGCAGCCAUCAUUUAAAGAAAGCGUAAUAGCUCACUGGUCGAGUCGGCCCGCGCGGAAGAUGUAACGGGGCUAAACCAUGCACCGAAGCUGCGGCAGCGACACAAAGUGUUGUUGGGUAGGGGAGCGUUCUGUAAGCCUGCGAAGGUGUACUGUGAGGUAUGCUGGAGGUAUCAGAAGUGCGAAUGCUGACAUAAGUAACGAUAAUGCGGGUGAAAAACCCGCACGCCGGAAGACCAAGGGUUCCUGUCCAACGUUAAUCGGGGCAGGGUGAGUCGACCCCUAAGGCGAGGCUGAAAAGCGUAGUCGAUGGGAAACGGGUUAAUAUUCCCGUACUGGUGGUAACUGCGAUGGGGGAACGGAGAAGGCUAGGUUGUCCGGGCGACGGUCGUCCCGGUUCAAGCAGGUAGGCAGAGUGAUUAGGCAAAUCCGGUCACUUAAUGCUGAGAUGUGAUGACGAACCACCAAGGUGGUGAAGCAAUUGAUGCCCCGCUUCCAGGAAAAGCCUCUAAGCUUCAGGUUACCAACAAUCGUACCCCAAACCGACACAGGUGGUCAGGUAGAGAAUACUCAGGCGCUUGAGAGAACUCGGGUGAAGGAACUAGGCAAAAUGGUGCCGUAACUUCGGGAGAAGGCACGCUGGCGGUAGGUAAAGUCCCUCGCGGACGGCGCUGAAGCCAGUCGAAGAUACCAGCUGGCUGCAACUGUUUAUUAAAAACACAGCACUGUGCAAACACGAAAGUGGACGUAUACGGUGUGACGCCUGCCCGGUGCUGGAAGGUUAAUUGAUGGGGUUAGCCGUAAGGCGAAGCUCCUGAUCGAAGCCCCAGUAAACGGCGGCCGUAACUAUAACGGUCCUAAGGUAGCGAAAUUCCUUGUCGGGUAAGUUCCGACCUGCACGAAUGGCGUAAUGAUGGCCAGGCUGUCUCCACCCGAGACUCAGUGAAAUUGAACUCGCUGUGAAGAUGCAGUGUACCCGCGGCAAGACGGAAAGACCCCGUGAACCUUUACUAUAGCUUGACACUGAACAUUGAGCCUUGAUGUGUAGGAUAGGUGGGAGGCUUUGAAGUGUGGACGCCAGUCUGCAUGGAGCCAACCUUGAAAUACCACCCUUUAACGUUUGAUGUUCUAACCUAGGCCCAUAAACUGGGUCGGGGACCGUGUCUGGUGGGUAGUUUGACUGGGGCGGUCUCCUCCUAAAGAGUAACGGAGGAGCACGAAGGUUGGCUAAGCAUGGUCGGACAUCAUGCGGUUAGUGCAAAGGCAUAAGCCAGCUUGACUGCGAGAGUGACGGCUCGAGCAGGUACGAAAGUAGGUCUUAGUGAUCCGGUGGUUCUGAAUGGAAGGGCCAUCGCUCAACGGAUAAAAGGUACUCCGGGGAUAACAGGCUGAUACCGCCCAAGAGUUCAUAUCGACGGCGGUGUUUGGCACCUCGAUGUCGGCUCAUCACAUCCUGGGGCUGAAGUAGGUCCCAAGGGUAUGGCUGUUCGCCAUUUAAAGUGGUACGCGAGCUGGGUUUAGAACGUCGUGAGACAGUUCGGUCCCUAUCUGCCGUGGGCGUUGGAAGAUUGAGAGGGGUUGCUCCUAGUACGAGAGGACCGGAGUGAACGCACCACUGGUGUUCGGGUUGUCAUGCCAAUGGCAUUGCCCGGUAGCUAAGUGCGGAAGAGAUAACCGCUGAAAGCAUCUAAGCGGGAAACUUGCCUCGAGAUGAGUCUUCCCUGUCGCUUUAAGCGACCUAAAGGAACGUUUAAGACUAAGACGUUGAUAGGCUGGGUGUGUAAGCGUAGCGAUACGUUGAGCUAACCAGUACUAAUGAACCGUGAGGCUUAACCUGACAACACCGAAAGUGUUUUG
Molecule: ribosomal RNA, 2932 nt
Filed under: Proteus mirabilis
Lineage: Bacteria; Pseudomonadati; Pseudomonadota; Gammaproteobacteria; Enterobacterales; Morganellaceae
Description: bacterial LSU rRNA
Rfam family: Bacterial large subunit ribosomal RNA
Source: RNAcentral